Molecule: ribosomal RNA, 497 nt
Filed under: uncultured bacterium
Lineage: Bacteria
Description: partial 16S ribosomal RNA
Rfam family: Bacterial small subunit ribosomal RNA
Source: RNAcentral
GAUGAACGCUGGCGGCGUGCCUAAUACAUGCAAGUCGAGCGAACAGACGAGGAGCUUGCUCCUCUGACGUUAGCGGCGGACGGGUGAGUAACACGUGUAUAACCUACCUAUAAGACUGGGAUAACUUCGGGACACCGGAGCUAAUACCGGAUAAUAUCUUGAACCGCAUGGUUCAAUAGUGAAAGACGGUUUUGCUGUCACUUAUAGAUGGAUCCGCGCCGCAUUAGCUAGUUGGUAAGGUAACGGCUUACCAAGGCAACGAUGCGUAGCCGACCUGAGAGGGUGAUCGGCCACACUGGAACUGAGACACGGUCCAGACUCCUACGGGAGGCAGCAGUAGGGAAUCUUCCGCAAUGGGCGAAAGCCUGACGGAGCAACGCCGCGUGAGUGAUGAAGGUCUUCGGAUCGUAAAACUCUGUUAUUAGGGAAGAACAAAUGUGUAAGUAACUAUGCACGUCUUGACGGUACCUAAUCAGAAAGCCACGGCUAACUACGUG